Molecule: ribosomal RNA, 379 nt
Filed under: uncultured bacterium
Lineage: Bacteria
Description: bacterial SSU rRNA
Rfam family: Bacterial small subunit ribosomal RNA
Source: RNAcentral
AUUGAACGCUGGCGGCAUGCCUUACACAUGCAAGUCGAACGGCAGCGCGGGAGCAAUCCUGGCGGCGAGUGGCGAACGGGUGAGUAAUAUAUCGGAACGUGCCCAGUAGUGGGGGAUAGCCCGGCGAAAGCCGGAUUAAUACCGCAUACGACCUGAGGGUGAAAGCGGGGGAUCGCAAGACCUCGCGCUAUUGGAGCGGCCGAUAUCAGAUUAGCUAGUUGGUGGGGUAAAGGCCUACCAAGGCAACGAUCUGUAGUUGGUCUGAGAGGACGACCAGCCACACUGGGACUGAGACACGGCCCAGACUCCUACGGGAGGCAGCAGUGGGGAAUUUUGGACAAUGGGCGCAAGCCUGAUCCAGCAAUGCCGCGUGCAGGAA